This 465-nucleotide ribosomal RNA is filed under the name uncultured bacterium. Its description in RNAcentral is "partial 16S ribosomal RNA". It matches the Rfam family "Bacterial small subunit ribosomal RNA", at positions 338 to 795 of the family's 1533-position model. The record is from RNAcentral.
CCUACGGGAGGCAGCAGUAGGGAAUCUUCCACAAUGGGCGAAAGCCUGAUGGAGCAACGCCGCGUGGGUGAAGAAGGUCUUCGGAUCGUAAAACCCUGUUGUUAGAGAAGAAAGUGCGUGAGAGUAACUGUUCACGUUUCGACGGUAUCUAACCAGAACGCCACGGCUAACUACGUGCCAGCAGCUGCGGUAAUACGUAGGUGGCAUGCGUUAUCCGGUUUUUUUGGGCGUAAAGGGAGCGCAGGCGGUCUUUUAAGUCUGAUGUGAAGGCCUGCGGCUUAACAGGUGUAGUGCAUUGGAUACUGGGAGACUUGAGUGCAGAAGAGGAAGGCGGAACUCGAGGUGUAGCGGUGAAAUGCGUAGAUAUAUGGAAGAACACCAGUGGCGAAGGCAGCUCUCUAGUCUGUAACUGACGCUGAGGUUCGAAAGCGUGGGUAGCAAACAGGAUUAGAUACCCUAGUAGUC